Molecule: ribosomal RNA, 879 nt
Filed under: Triticum aestivum (bread wheat)
Lineage: Eukaryota; Viridiplantae; Streptophyta; Magnoliopsida; Poales; Poaceae
Description: partial small subunit ribosomal RNA
Source: RNAcentral
AUGGCGAGAUGCGUUUGGGAACUAGCAGAUGAAGAUCUUACGGAAACCAUUGUCUCCAACCGGGCGGACGACGCAAAGUUAUGGAUGUUGUGGCUUGUUAAUACUCUUCCUUCGGCGAAGCUUGCGCGCGUCCUUGUGACGAUGUGGGCUAUUUGGUGGGCACAACGUCGAGCUAUCCACGAUGAUCAGUACCAAAGUCCACUAAGUACGCACAUGUUCAUUGAGAAAUUUUUGUCAGAGCUGGAGGCGAUCCCUGGCGAGAAGGAACGACCCAGGGAUCGAAAUGAAAAAUCCAAGGACCUGCAUGCUACGGCCAGGGACUUGCAUGUAAUGGCCAGGGACCUGCAUGUAACGGCUAGGGGAGAAUCAGUGCAGUGCGUCCGGUCAGCUCGGACGACCUGGCUCCCUCCGGCGAAGCAUGAAGUGAAGAUUAAUGUUGAUGGCGGGUUUUCCAAGGUUGGGGACCAAGGAGCUUCGGCGGUGAUCUGUAGGGACAAGCACGGUAAGUUUCUGGGUGCUUCCGCGGUUAUUUCUGAAGGUUUGCUGGACCCAACUAUACUCGAAGCCCAGGCGUGCAACGAGGCCAUUGCUCUUGCUGAGGACAUCCAUGUUCACUUCGUGUGUGUUGCAUCGGACUGCCUUGAGGUGAUCACCAAUAUCCAUACUGGAGCCCCUUGUCGAUAUGUUGCCAUCUUGGAGGAGAUCAAGCACAGGAGGCGUUCGAUCCAAGAUACUCAGUUUGUGCAUGAAAAUAGGAAACACAAUGAGGAAGCACAUGCCUUAGCUAAGGCGGCUGCUUCUCUCCCUCCCGGGCGCCAUGUGUGGCUUGCUACUCUGCCCGAUAUUAUCUGUAUCCCUAUGUUUUUGAACUUUCAAUAA